CUGGUAUGCAGCUCUUAUUUUUCUGGAUCCGUGUGUGCAACACAGUAUGUGCCGGAGGGACCAUCCACAGAACACAGGUUGUGCUUCGUGGAUUGUCCAGCUGCAUGCUGCAUUUCAUUAGCUGCGCUCUGCUCUGUCUCCCUUGAUCAGUUGCCUGACAGCAGGCCAUGAAGAUGUGUAGAGAGUACUCCAAGAUUUUACUUUAGUCUGCAUCUCAAACCUCAAACAAAGGGGAGAAGGAGCCCACUGAUUCUCAACCUGGGUGAUGUCCGAUUCUUUGAAGGGUGUUGCAUGGUUUAAGGAAAUAAGCACAGGCUUAGGCUUACCCCCGCCCCACUGCCUGGCUCCUCUGGAAGGAGUGUCAUCCACAGAUUUGAACAAGGUGCUUUUUCAAAUUUGUCCAAGUUGCUGAUGAAGAUGUUGAACAGUGAGGGACUGAGGACCAAGCCCUGGGGAACCCCACUGCCCACAUCCCUCCAGGUCGAAAACAACACACCCACCACCACUCUCUGGGGUGAGAGAGUGUCGAAGGCCUUCCUAAAGUCCAGAAAGACUACAUCCACUGCGACACCUGCAUCCAAGGAUUUUGUGACCUGGUCAUAGAAGGCAACCAGGUUGGUCUGACAGGACCUGCGUCUAAUGAAACUGUGUUGGUUGCUCAUAAGCAUAAUCUCCCCUGCUGGUCCCUCACAGAUGUGCUCCUGGAUAAUUUUCUCAAAGAGCUUCCCCAGGACCGAGGGAGAAAGCAACCCUUCCUCAGUCAUCCAGGGCAGGCAUCAAGACAUGAGGAAGAAGAAAGUUCAUUACCUUGACUUUCUGUCCAUCUAGAAGACAUCUUUGAAAGUUUUUCAUCCCUUAUCCAGGAUUACACUUUUUUCAUAACCCCAAAUUCUUCAUGGGAAGAACUUUUCAUUUUUGGUCAACUGUAGAGCAAAACACUUACAAAUAUGGCUCCAGUGAUGUAAGGACUUAAAGUUCAUAUAUGCUGCAAAAUACGUUACACAAAACCCAAAACUGAGCUGAAACUCUUUAUUGAAAUAAAAAUUAAUCUGCAGUCUUACUCUUACUGCAUUAUUUUCCUUCAGGCUUUACUUUAAAAUGAACCUCUUGAAAAUAGCAACUUGUUGGGAAAUAUUUAAAGCGACAUGAGAAUCCAGGAACAAGAUUUAGGAGGCAGCUCAAGUCUCUCAGUGCAUGACUCUGAAAAGCUAUAGGAAAUCGUAAAAGGGCUUAGUGUACUCUACAAUAUUCAAAACAAAUCCUGAGCAUACAAAGGCGACUGAAAGGGCAUUGAAACCACAAAUAGCAUAAAGACAUAGUUGAAAAGCAUAAGAUUGAAUAAAUAACUUAACUACAUUAAAAUGGUGGAAAAAAGUUUGUGAAAUAUAAAACUUUUCUCUCUAACUUGGUUAAAGCUUGCCAUUUGUCUUGUUGGGUUCCAUGUAGGCUGGUGCGAGUUGGCAGCAAUCCAAUCCGGCUUCGGAUCUGGCUGCUUUGGAUGGCCAUGAUCUGAUCCGGAGCUCUGGAUCGGUUUGCUGCUUUGAUCCGCCCAAAGCGGCUCCGAAGCUUCAGAGCAGCCUUGGAGAUCCGGCUAUAGGUAAUAAUGGGGGAUGAAUUAAAUAUUUAUAACUUUGUUAUUUUAGCUCCAAUUUGGGCACAACUUGCAGAGAUGGUAGCCUCUGCUGAGGGCAUGAAGCCUGCCAAGUUUCAAGAAGACCAGUGCAGGGGUUUGGAAGGAACUGCACCCCAAAUUCUUGAAAGCAAAACUCCUCUCACAUCUACAUGUUAUACCACAGGGGGCUGAAAACUGCAGGGAUGGUAGCCUCUGGUGAGGCCACAAAACCUGCCAAGUUUCAGGAAGUUUGGUGCAGAGGCUUGGGGGGUAACUGCCCCCAAGCUGCUGACAGGCAAAACUCAUCAUGUGGGUGGGUGCUUGGGCGACUGCGUCUGUCUUGGGUCACAGCGGGGUUAAAUCUAGUGCAGGCCUGAGUGCUGGGCCCUGCCAGGCCAUGAAUCCUGCCAGCUGUGUGUCUCUCGCUGGGGGAGUCUAUCGUCUGGGGCCCUGCACCCCAAGCUGCUGACAGGCAAAACUCAAGAUUUCAUAGAUUUAAUAGAUUUCAUAGACAUUAGGGCUGGAAGGGACCUUGGAAGAUCAUCGAGUCCAGCCCCCUGCCUGAAGGGCAGGAAGUCAGCUGGAGUCAUAGGAUCCCAGCAAGAUAAGCAUCCAGUGAUAUGGGUGGGUGACAUUGUGUGUGUGUUAAGGUGCACCCUUCCUGGUGCUGGGGCCUCUGCACAACAUGGCAGUGUGCCCCAGUGAGGUCUCCUCCUCCCCUACAGCCUCAUGCCCAGUCCUCUGCUUUACGUGACAACAGGUAAAAUAACUUAGGUGGCUCAACACCAGUAACUUCAGCAGCAGCAUCAAAGGUACCCAAACAGAACUGUCAUAGAGCCUCUCUUUUUAUAAAGGAAUUGACAGCAAGAAGUAACGAUGUUGUGUUGUGUUGUGUUGGACAUAUGAUGUUAUUCAUAGUGUGUGAUGGCUUAUCUUGCAUUUUUAUGUCUAUGUGUAUAUUAUGAAAAAAAAAGGAGUACUUAAAAAAAUGUAUCUUUGGAAGCUUUAGGGUUGAAAACCCCUUUGUCAGGAUAAGGAAGCACCUGCAGUUGGUCCUGGAUGGAAGGAAUAGUAAAGAAGCCAGAGGCUGGCCUGGCCCGCAAUGCAGGCAAGAAAGCCAGUCAGUGAAAAGGGAAAUGGAGGUAGGAUCCAAGCAGGUGCAGUGGAGUGUGACAACAUCCCCAGCAAUGCUGAACACCCUCUCGCUUGGAACACUUGUUGGUGGACAGGACAGGUGUUGCCAGGCAACCAUGGCCAGAUCCUGCCACAGCUGCCUGCGGUUUGCCCAGUAAGCCAAGGGGUUGCAGUCCAGUGGCUCCACAUCCUCAGCAACAUAGGUAGCCACCGAAGCCUCAGUGCUACCUGCCUGAGGCUGAGGUCUGGUGCAUUUGGAUCCUAGCAUUGAAGCCAUGCCCAUGGCCCACGUAGGCAGUGGCUGGUGUGGAGGAGACUGGCUGGCGCUGGUGCUGGGAGUGCUGGCACGGGAAAGUGGAUCCCCCUCUUCCACAUCCCCUUGCCUCUGCACUUUGGCCUCCCUGACUUUGUUCACCAACACCUGUGUCCAGUGAUCAAGGGUUUUGGGGCUGCCAGUGCACCUGCUCCCCUUCACCCUCGGGUCACACAUGUCCGCCAUCAUGUGGGCCGUACUGGACCACAAGGGAUCCAGCUGUCUCCUGAUGCCCUCCUUCAGCCACCUCACCAGUGCCUGCACAUCUGGUGACAGCGGCCUACCUGAGCCAGGAACAUUGAUCCCCUCGAACUUCUCCAUUUGGUUCUCCAGUUCCCUCACUAGGGGGAUCACCUGGCUGAGGAGGGCAUUGCCAGUGCUAAGGGUCUCGGGGGCCUCGAGGAAGGGCUUGAAGACUAGCAAGAUCUAGGAGAUGGUACCCCACUCAGCUCUGUUCAAGGGGGCACUGAUCCCAAUCUCCCCAAGCAAGGCCAUCUCAUGGAUGGCCUUCUGUUGCUCCACCAGCCUCUCGAGCAUCAGGUAUGUGGAGUUCCUCUGAGUCUCCACAUCCUGUAAGAUUCUGUGCUGCAGGAUGCUCAGCUCUGCCUGUUUCUCCUGCAGCAUCUUGUUCCCCUUGAUGCUGCAGGGGAAGUAGCUGACCACCUUCUUGCAUUUUGAAAUUAGCUGGCUUGUAGCAGUACUGGUGGUGGUGCCAUCACAGGCAGCCCUGUCCCCCUCCAAGGUAUUCAUCACUAUUAGGUGCAGCCUGUGUGCCACACAGAGGAUGCCAACAAAGCUGGCAUCACGGACAGCCUUCACCAUAUUGGCCCCAUUGUUGGUGACCAUGAACCCACGGGUGAGCUUGGCCUUCCCAACGAGCCACCCCUGCACCAUGCGGUUCAUGGUCCCCAUGAUUUCCCUUGCUGUGUGGGACUCAUCCAGCACCUCGGCUUGCAGUAGAGCCCACUGAUGGCCUGACUGAGCACACCAGUGCCCCGUGAGGUAGAGGUAGGUGUGAUCACCACCCCAGCUGCUCCAUAUGUCGGAGGUGAAGUGCAAAGUUACCUGCAGCCCUGCCUUGUGCAGCUUCUCUCUCAAGUACUCCCUGCAUGCCUCAUACAGGGAGGGCACCACUGCCCUGCUAAAGGUAGUGCGUGCGGGCACUUUGUAAAAUGGGGCCAGAAGUGCUAUGGAGCUCCUGAACCCUGGUCGCUCAACUAGGGAGAAGGACUGGCUAUCCAGAGCAAGUGUCUCCCCAAUGCUCUGGGUGAUCUCGCUUGCCUUGGGAACAUGCCCCCCUUUCUGUCCACCUUUCCCUCACUGGUCCAGGGUGGCCUUCCUCUGCCUUAGGGGUAAGGGAGCUUUGGAGCGAGCGGGGGACUUCCCUUUCGGCACACUCGCACUGGUGCCACGCUGAGCAGCAGGAAGAAGGGCAAGGGGGUGGUGCCUCCUCAGAUGCAGCAGCAUGGCCGUGGUGGAGAAGUGUCUGACGUCCUUGCCAUGGCUCAUGUGCCUUUGGCAGUACUGGAAGAUGGCAAACCUGGAAUCAUCUGCCACCUCAAAAUGAUCCCACGCUGCAUUACUCCCCCGCUUCUGGGUUGAGGGUGAGGAUCCUGCCUUUUCUCCCUUCUCAGCAGGCUGAGGCUGAACAGCAAGAGGAGCUGCCUCAGCUGAGCCACUUGCCUCCACAUCCUCAGCCUCCUCUGAGGUGCUGCUUUCCAGAAGAGACCGGGGUCUAAGAGAAACUUGAGGGGUUUGGAGCGCAAACUCUGAUUUCCCCUCAGUCCCCAGAAUUGCUUGAGCCAGUGUGCUCAGCAUCCCUGGUUCCAGCUCCAGCUCCUCCUCUGGCAGUGGGAGGCUCAUGCUGAGAGCUGAAAUUAGGGUGGAAGAGGCAGUAAUUCCACUGCUGGUGCCCACUUCUGGACUGAGCAGAAGUGGUGCAGGUACAGGGAUGUCAGAUGCAGACACUGUGUCCACCACCUGGCUUCCACUGGCAGCACUGAUGUCAUGGCUGCUCGGGAACAGAAUGCAUCUGUAUUUGGGGGGGUGGCUUGCAGCUGUAGCUCUCCCCCUACCCCCUCUCCCUCCCCUGCCAAAAGACCUGGCACCUGCCUUUCCAGCACACUUCAUAUUGAUCUUUCCUGUGCUGCAAAAGGUCUCUCUAUGUGUGUGAAUCCUUUUGUAUUGUGCAUUUUAUUCCCUCUGUUGCGUGCAUGCACUGACCUCUUCUUUGAAUGUUUGCUUCAGUGUUAAGGGUUAUGUAAAAAUUGUGUGCUGUCUUGUUCUUCUGUGAAUAUCUGUCUUCUUCUGCUCUGAAUAUCUGUGUCUUGUUCUGCUGUGAAUACGUGUUUGUCUUGUUCUGCUGUGAAUAUCUGUCUGUCUUCUGCUGUGAAUAUCUGUGUCUUCUGUGAAUAUCUGUCUGUCUUCUUCUGCUAUGAUUUUUUUUCUAUAUUGUGAGUCUCUGUAUAUGUGUGUGUGCGCGUGUGCAAGCAAUCUGUGCCUCCCUGCACAGUGAUAGAUCACAAUGGCUGGGAAAACACACCUUUCUUUUUGCAAAGUUUCCAAAAAAAAGAGCAAAAAUAAAUUCAAAGAAAUAAAUUGAAUUGUAAUACUAAUAAUAAUUGAAUAGACUAGCUAAGCUAAGCUAAAUCCUACCCACUCCUUUGUAACAAGAAAAAAGAGCAGGCAAGUCUCAGUCUGAGCGUUCCUCUCUCACACUGUUGCUGACAGGGAAUGAGCUGCAAAAGGCACAGAAAGGCUGCAAACAGAGGCUUUUCUGCUGUUUCUAGUCCUACCCCACAGAU
This is a long non-coding RNA of Alligator mississippiensis (American alligator), 5863 nucleotides long. RefSeq lists it as uncharacterized. The transcript has 5 exons. NCBI's taxonomy places the organism in Eukaryota, Metazoa, Chordata, Crocodylia, Alligatoridae. The record is from RefSeq and is a predicted model, not a curated record.